RNAcentral lists this ribosomal RNA (488 nucleotides) under uncultured bacterium. RNAcentral describes it as "bacterial SSU rRNA". It matches the Rfam family "Bacterial small subunit ribosomal RNA", at positions 25 to 518 of the family's 1533-position model. The record is from RNAcentral.
CAGGAUGAACGCUGGCGGCGUGCUUAACACAUGCAAGUCGAACGGAGUUUUAACGGAAGUUUCGGAUGGAAGUUAGAAACUAGUGGCGGACGGGUGAGUAACGCGUGGGUAACCUGCCUCAUACAGGGGGAUAACAGUUAGAAAUGACUGCUAACACCGCAUAAUAUAGCGAAACCGCAUGAUUUUGCUAUCAAAUAUUUAUAGGUAUGAGAUGGGCCCGCGUCUGAUUAGCUAGUUGGUGGGGUAAAAGCCUACCAAGGCGACGAUCAGUAGCCGGCUUGAGAGAGUGACCGGCCACAUUGGGACUGAGACACGGCCCAAACUCCUACGGGAGGCAGCAGUGGGGAAUAUUGGACAAUGGGGGAAACCCUGAUCCAGCGACGCCCGCGUGAGUGAAGAAGUAUUUCGGUAUGUAAAGCUCUAUCAGCAGGGAAGAUAAUGACAGUACCUGACUAAGAAGCCCCGGCUAACUACGUGCCAGCAGCAGC